This 254-nucleotide ribosomal RNA is filed under the name uncultured bacterium. RNAcentral describes it as "partial 16S ribosomal RNA". It matches the Rfam family "Bacterial small subunit ribosomal RNA", at positions 524 to 776 of the family's 1533-position model. The record is from RNAcentral.
UACGGGGGGAGCAAGCGUUGUUCGGAUUUACUGGGCGUAAAGGGCGCGUAGGCGGCCACCGCAAGUCAAUUGUGAAAUCUCCGGGCUUAACUCGGAAAGGUCAACUGAUACUGCGGGGCUAGAGUGCGGAAGGGGCAACUGGAAUUCUCGGUGUAGCGGUGAAAUGCGUAGAUAUCGAGAGGAACACCUGCGGCGAGGGCGGGUUGCUGGGCCGACACUGACGCUGAGGCGCGAAAGCCAGGGGAGCGAACGGG